RNAcentral lists this ribosomal RNA (253 nucleotides) under uncultured bacterium. Its description in RNAcentral is "partial 16S ribosomal RNA". It matches the Rfam family "Bacterial small subunit ribosomal RNA", at positions 524 to 776 of the family's 1533-position model. The record is from RNAcentral.
UACGUAGGGACCGAGCGUUGUCCGGAAUCAUUGGGCGUAAAGAGCGUGUAGGCGGCUAUUUAAGUCCUGCGUGAAAUCCUGCGGCUCAACCGCAGACGGUCGUGGGAAACUGGAUGGCUAGAGUGCGGGAGAGGAGAGUGGAAUUCCCGGUGUAGCGGUGAAAUGCGUAGAUAUGCGGAGGAACACCGAUGGCGAAGGCAAUCCCCUGGGCCUGCACUGACGCUCAUGCACGAAAGCGUGGGGAGCAAACAGG